This is a long non-coding RNA of Bactrocera neohumeralis, 1077 nucleotides long. RefSeq lists it as uncharacterized. The record is from RefSeq and is a predicted model, not a curated record. The transcript is spliced from 2 exons. Lineage: Eukaryota; Metazoa; Arthropoda; Insecta; Diptera; Tephritidae.
CAGUCUGUCGUAGCCAUUGUGUUUACACUUUGAACUGCCAGACAAAAUCUCGUUAAAAAUAACUAACAAAGUCAGUUCGUUAUAUUUCAUUGUGGAGUACAUGUUGUGAAAAUAUAGUGUUUAAGUUUUUUUUAUUAAAAAUACAGCGUAUAAGUGUUUUUACUAAAAAUAAAGUUGGCCUAUAGGGGAACCGAGCACCCAAAACUAACUUUGGUAACGCGCCUUUUGUAUACCUCAGCGGUGGUGUGGAAAUUACAAACUCCCAAAACAUUUACUAAAAAUUCCCUAACACAUUUCUUCCAUAGUGGCAUCAUUGGCAAAUGAUAUAAAAAUUGAGGACUUUGACAGCGCUCUCUCGAAUCAAAGAGUUUCGGAUCAAUUUAUCCAUGGGCUCGACAACGACUGAACGAUAGAGCGUCAGCGUACGUGUGAAGUUAGUUUGCAAAAUUUUGCUAUGAAAUGCCGACCACUGGUAUAGUUAGACUUCUUGGCAAGGUACUACAGUCGCUACCUAGCUAGGAGAUCGUAGCAAUAGCGUAGGUAUAAAAAAAAUUAUGAAUCCUCAUUAAUAAAAUUUUCUUUGUAGAUGUAUCGUUGAACAAAGCAUUACAGUCGUUUUAAAAAGUGUUCCACCCAACCAAUUAUCGUCAUUUAAGAAAAUAUUGGCAGUGGCAUUCCUACUAAGUACAUCACUAAUGCAAGCGCCGACACCUAGGCUGUUGGAGUAUUUGAAUGUUAUUUUUGUAAUCAAGGAAUUUGAGACGGAAGGAAACACUUACUAGUAUUCAUGAGAUUGUGUUUAAGUUAAGAGAAGAACGUUGAAUGCGGCAUAACCAUUGCUACUAAAAUCAACGAUUCAAGAUUACACCGAAUUACUACGGAUUUGGGUUGUAUACAUAAGCGGAGCAAAAGUAUAACAACAAAGAAAAUGUUUACAACCAGAGAGAAUUAUUAAAGACUAUCAGACAGUUGAAGUGACGACAAAGUUUCUCAAAUCGAAAUGACAAUUGAAACAGCAAUUUCAUAUACCAAACGUAUAAUUACUCUAAUAAAGAUUUUCAACUCCGUGAAACACAA